CCCAUUGGUGCGACUUCUCGGCUUCACGUGACCGCCCCCAAACGGGGCGGAGGAGGCGGGGCCGUCACGUUCACGGUCUUGAGCAGCCUUCGAGGCCAAGGUUGGUUGAGAAACAUAAUGUGCAGAAUGGGAGGUAAUAGACCUGCUCUACUUUGCCUCAGACGAACGUAUCUGGAAUAUUAACAACCAGGAAAACUUGGAAACAACUUGGAAAUUACCGAAGGGAUCUGAAGAAAGGAGAAAAUAU
This is a long non-coding RNA of Sarcophilus harrisii (Tasmanian devil), 247 nucleotides long. RefSeq lists it as uncharacterized. The record is from RefSeq and is a predicted model, not a curated record. Lineage: Eukaryota; Metazoa; Chordata; Mammalia; Dasyuromorphia; Dasyuridae. The transcript has 3 exons.